UCUUUUGAAAGAAUCUUCGAAAGGAGAUGGAUGCAGAGGAAGGCGAGCUGUGUGAUCCCUGAUCCCGGGACGCUCAGGCACGGAUUUCGAGAUUGGGAGGCACCCUGUGCUCCUACAUCCCAGAUGAGGACUGCAAAGCCAUCCAUGGAGGAGAGGUGUUCACAGCAGCCAAAGAACAAGGCCAGAGAGCUUGUGGCCUACCUGGGACCCCACCAGGCUCUGAGCUCAGCUCAGAGCAAGAGGCAAUUCUAACAAGCAGCCAAGUUUGAGGACCCAUGUCAAGUGGUUGAGAUGAUUCUGAGAAGAAGGCUUAUCAGCUUCUGUUUGGAAAAGGAAGUAAAUGCUCAAGCAGAGAAGAUUCAGAAUCCUUCCUUUCCUGUGAAAGCUGUGACUCUCUUUUGAGGGUAGAAAUAUUUCUCCUUCUUCCUUUGGAAGGGGAACUCCACGGCUUU
Phacochoerus africanus (Common warthog) is the source of this 452-nucleotide long non-coding RNA. RefSeq lists it as uncharacterized. The record is from RefSeq and is a predicted model, not a curated record. Lineage: Eukaryota; Metazoa; Chordata; Mammalia; Artiodactyla; Suidae. The transcript has 3 exons.